Long non-coding RNA from Bos taurus (domestic cattle), 921 nucleotides. Lineage: Eukaryota; Metazoa; Chordata; Mammalia; Artiodactyla; Bovidae. The record is from Ensembl.
AAGUGAGAAGCAGAUAUUUGACAGUUCCUGGGGUAGCUCAGAGAAUUAACAUUUGUGCGUGCUCAGUCUCUCAGUCAUGUCCGACUCUUGGCGCCCUCAUAGACUGUAGCUCACCAGGGUCUUCUGUCCAUGGAAUUCUCCAGGCAAGAAUAGUGGAGUGGGUUGCCAUUUCCUCCUCCAGGGGAUCUUCCCAACCCAGGGAUCAACUCCAUGUCUCCUGCAUUGGCAGGCAGAUUCUUUACCCCUGAGCCACCUGGGAAGGCCAGAGAAUUAACACAGCAGCCCAACAACCCACUCCAGUUGCCCACACAGAGGCCAGUGCGGGUGGUGUCAUUGAACUGCAGUUUUCUGUCAUUUGUCAUUGCUGUUCCUGCUCCAGUGACAUCCAGGCUUGCUCCACUGUCAAGUUUCAGGUUCCCCAAGGAGAAUCUGCUUCCAGUGAAGUGUGAGAGCAACCAGCCACAGUAAUAACUGCUGUGACCUGAGAAGAAAAGGGAAGAACGCGUUUCCCUCGCGCUUGCGAGCCUAGGACAAUCCAUCCAUCAUUGGCCGCAGACCACACGGGAUCUGCCACCUGAGGAUCCAGCGACACCCCCGGCCUUGCUUUGGCUCCCUCACCCCCAACAUGCCUUCUCCCACCCAUGACCUCUGGUUCCCUCCUGGCAACAGGGAGACUUUCAGUUUGGGGCCAUUCUUCCUCCUCAUCAAUGUUUACUGAGCAGAAGCAGUGACUUCAACCCCGAGAUGCCCACAGAGCACCCCCGGUUUCACUUCCCUGCCCUGCCUCCCCAGCCUGCUCUUUGUCAGCAGGGUUACAUUUCCAGUUUUCCCUGUGGAGCCCUGGGUGCCCCGCCUACGGUCAUAAGAGGGUAGAGUUGACAGAGCUGCAGAGACCAUCUCUUUCCACCGAGUUUACAGAUG